ACUCUUUGACCUGCACCCUGAAAUGCCGGAUCCAAAGUUUUCACAGAGCUAGACAUUGUGCAAAGUCCUCCUUGUUACCACUUCUUUCAACAAAGGGAACUGGAAUGCUGAAGCUCCUAACCUCAGCUAUCUCAAUAUUCUCAAAAACACACCUAUUCCUCCUCUACAGAGAGAUCUAUGCAGCAAAACUCUCCCUCCACAGAGAAGAAAAACCAAAAGGGUAUUCAAAACACAGAAGAAAAAGGGGUUAUGCAAAGCUGGCCAAAUAUGAAAAAGGGGUACACCAAAAAGGAAGUGAAUAA
Solanum stenotomum is the source of this 302-nucleotide long non-coding RNA. RefSeq lists it as uncharacterized. Lineage: Eukaryota; Viridiplantae; Streptophyta; Magnoliopsida; Solanales; Solanaceae. The record is from RefSeq and is a predicted model, not a curated record. The transcript is spliced from 2 exons.